RNAcentral lists this ribosomal RNA (429 nucleotides) under uncultured Alphaproteobacteria bacterium. RNAcentral describes it as "bacterial SSU rRNA". It matches the Rfam family "Bacterial small subunit ribosomal RNA", at positions 29 to 505 of the family's 1533-position model. The record is from RNAcentral. Lineage: Bacteria; Pseudomonadati; Pseudomonadota; Alphaproteobacteria.
AACGAACGCUGGCGGCAGGCUUAACACAUGCAAGUCGAACGAACCUUCGGGUGAGUGGCGCACGGGUGCGUAACGCGUGGGAAUAUACCCUUGAGUAAGGAAUAACGUAGAGAAAUUUGCGCUAAUACCUUAUAAUGACUUCGGUCCAAAGAUUUAUCGCUCAAGGAUUAGCCCGCGUCAGAUUAGAUAGUUGGUGAGGUAACGGCUCACCAAGUCGACGAUCUGUAGGGGGUCUGAGAGGAUGAUCCCCCACACUGGUACUGAGACACGGACCAGACUCCUACGGGAGGCAGCAGUGAGGAAUAUUGGACAAUGGGGGAAACCCUGAUCCAGCCAUGCCGCGUGAGUGAAGACGGCCUUAGGGUUGUAAAGCUCUUUCAAUUGCGAAGAUAAUGACGGUAACAAUAGAAGAAGCUCCGGCUAAAUUCG